UUAAAAAAGCCCACAGGCUGGUCUGAAGAGGAAGACAAACAUAAAGAUGAAGUGCUUAAUUCAAGGUCACACAAUGUCGGGGAUGGACCUCCAGAUUUCCUUACUGGAAAACAAGCUCAGGGCUCCCACUGAUUGUACAUUAUGGUGAGACGUGGUCUUGUAACACAGUGGUUAAGAAUGUGACUUUGGAGCCAGCCUGCUAGGGGCUGAAUUCUGACUCAGCCAUUUACUAACUGUGUGACCUUAGGUCACAGAAUUUUCCACACUCCUUGACAGAGGUGCUUAACCCUUAUCCAUCAGCAUUCUCAGACAGCACCUCCGGUUAGGGACAGUAUCUGACCGUCCGACAUCCCUGCAGCCCCCAUGUGUCACACAGACUCAGCCUCAGGUAGAUGGUUUCCGUAGAUGGUGGCUUUCUUUGGACCCUUGACAUCAACCAGUUACUAUUUGACUCUUCUGCAGAACCCCAUGUUGACCCCUGCUUUGAGGUGGCAGAGUUAACACUACUCUUCGUUAUAAGCUCUCGUCUGGGGCAACUCAGAAGAACGGGACCAGAUGUGCAGAGGUAAUGAAUACCAGGGAAUCAGGAAACCACUGGAUCAGUUCUUUGAGCCACAGAACAACACUCAUCCCAGCAGCUGGGAAGCUAUCUGCAAAAGUCCAUCUGCAGAAAGGGCUUCCUGGUCUUGCGUGUGGCUGGGCCAUUUCUCUGGAUGCAGGUUUUUCAUUAUACAGUCUUCUCAAAGAACCACCUGCUCUCAACACC
Molecule: long non-coding RNA, 766 nt
Filed under: Homo sapiens (human)
Lineage: Eukaryota; Metazoa; Chordata; Mammalia; Primates; Hominidae
Description: PCBP1 antisense RNA 1
Source: RNAcentral